AACAAUCUGCGGUGUUCGGAGUUCGGUUUUUUUGCGGAAUCCACAGUAUUUAUUCGGGAGUUGCGAUUCGGGGCGAUAGGCAAGGUCUGUUUUACGGAAAGUCCGAUGCGUCAAGAUCCGACACCCACCUGCUUUUUGCGGGUUCACCCUGAACCGAGGUGCGGCACAGGCGGAUUUCUU
This 180-nucleotide non-coding RNA is filed under the name Clostridia bacterium. RNAcentral's name for it is "6S RNA". It matches the Rfam family "6S / SsrS RNA". From Rfam's summary of the family: E. coli 6S RNA was the first non coding RNA to be sequenced, but its function was unknown until recently. The record is from RNAcentral. Lineage: Bacteria; Bacillati; Bacillota; Clostridia.